Molecule: ribosomal RNA, 468 nt
Filed under: uncultured bacterium
Lineage: Bacteria
Description: partial 16S ribosomal RNA
Rfam family: Bacterial small subunit ribosomal RNA
Source: RNAcentral
GACGAACGCUGGCGGCGUGCUUAACACAUGCAAGUCGAACGGAAAGGCCCUGCUUGUGUGCUGUGCUCGAGUGGCGAACGCGUGAGUAACAGGUGAGUAUCCUGCUCUUGAUUUUGGGAUAACUUCAGGAAACUGGAGUUACUAUAGUAUAGGAGCCCCCGUUGCAUGGAGGGCGUUGGAUCUUUUCGGCGGUUGCGGUUGGACUCGCGGCUGUUCAGUUUGUUGGUGGGGUAGUGGCUUACCAAGGGAUUGACGGGUAGCCGGCCUGUGAGGGUGACCGGCCACAUGGGGACUGAGGUACGGCCCAGACGCCUACGGGAGGCAGCAGUGGGGAGUAUUGCACAAUGGGCGGAAGCCUGAGGCAGCAACGCCGCGUGUGGGAUGACGGCCUUCGGGUUGUGAACCGCUUUCGCCUGUGACGAAGCGUGAGUGACGGUAAUGGGUAAAGAAGCACCGGCUAACUACGUG